RNAcentral lists this ribosomal RNA (755 nucleotides) under uncultured bacterium. RNAcentral's name for it is "bacterial SSU rRNA". It matches the Rfam family "Bacterial small subunit ribosomal RNA", at positions 28 to 776 of the family's 1533-position model. The record is from RNAcentral.
AUUGAACGCUGGCGGCAGGCUUAACACAUGCAAGUCGAGCGGAAACGAUGGUAGCUUGCUACCAGGCGUCGAGCGGCGGACGGGUGAGUAAUACUUAGGAAUCUACCUAGUAGUGGGGGAUGGCUCGGGGAAACUCGAAUUAAUACCGCAUACGACCUACGGGAGAAAGGGGGCAACUUGUUGCUCUCGCUAUUAGAUGAGCCUAAGUCGGAUUAGCUAGAUGGUGGGGUAAAGGCCUACCAUGGCGACGAUCUGUAGCUGGUCUGAGAGGAUGAUCAGCCACACCGGGACUGAGACACGGCCCGGACUCCUACGGGAGGCAGCAGUGGGGAAUAUUGGACAAUGGGGGCAACCCUGAUCCAGCCAUGCCGCGUGUGUGAAGAAGGCCUUUUGGUUGUAAAGCACUUUAAGCAGUGAAGAAGACUCCGUGGUUAAUACCCACGGACGAUGACAUUAGCUGCAGAAUAAGCACCGGCUAACUCUGUGCCAGCAGCCGCGGUAAUACAGAGGGUGCAAGCGUUAAUCGGAAUUACUGGGCGUAAAGCGAGCGUAGGUGGCUUGAUAAGUCAGAUGUGAAAUCCCCGGGCUUAACCUGGGAACUGCAUCUGAUACUGUUAGGCUAGAAUAGGUGAGAGGAAGGUAGAAUUCCAGGUGUAGCGGUGAAAUGCGUAGAGAUCUGGAGGAAUACCGAUGGCGAAGGCAGCCUUCUGGCAUCAUAUUGACACUGAGGUUCGAAAGCGUGGGUAGCAAACAGG